This 100-nucleotide microRNA precursor is filed under the name Pelobates cultripes (western spadefoot toad). The record is from RNAcentral. Lineage: Eukaryota; Metazoa; Chordata; Amphibia; Anura; Pelobatidae.
UGAAUUUUUCCACGCUGUGUAAAAUGACUCAUAACACUCUGAUUGGUUACUUAAUCCACCAAUCAGAGUGUUAUGAGUCAUUUUACACAGCGUGGGAAAA